AUUGAACGCUGGCGGAAUGCUUUACACAUGCAAGUCGAACGGCAGCACGGGGCAACCUGGUGGCGAGUGGCGAACGGGUGAGUAAUACAUCGGAACGUGCCCAAUCGUGGGGGAUAACGUAGCGAAAGUUACGCUAAUACCGCAUACGAUCUACGGAUGAAAGCGGGGGAUCGCAAGACCUCGCGCGAAUGGAGCGGCCGAUGUCAGAUUAGGUAGUUGGUGGGGUAAAGGCUCACCAAGCCGACGAUCUGUAGCUGGUCUGAGAGGACGACCAGCCACACUGGGACUGAGACACGGCCCAGACUCCUACGGGAGGCAGCAGUGGGGAAUUUUGGACAAUGGGCGCAAGCCUGAUCCAGCCAUUCCGCGUGCAGGAUGAAGGCCUUCGG
Molecule: ribosomal RNA, 389 nt
Filed under: uncultured bacterium
Lineage: Bacteria
Description: bacterial SSU rRNA
Rfam family: Bacterial small subunit ribosomal RNA
Source: RNAcentral